CGCAAAGAACCAAAGUUUCAGGUGGAAUCUGGCCAGAAACCCUCCGUGCCGGUGCCAGCUCAGUCUACCUGGUUGAUACAGACGCAGGUAGUCCCUAUGACUGCUCUCCCUACCUCAGGUAUAAAUCUCAGGCACAGCACACUCCACAAGGGGAUGGCAUGUUCAGCUAUGUAAAAACUCAUUUCCCUGAAAAGCCACUUGGAGCGGAAGAGUCCUUUGCCAGAGUGUCACCCUGCUCCGUGUGUUGGAGGAAGGCCCGUCCACCCGGCUCAGACCCAGAUGGUUUGCAGAUGUCGCUGGAGACACAGGAGGGUGGGGCUCCGAUGAAUGUCAGUGUAGCUGUCUAUGGGACUCCAAGGGAAGUGCAUCUGAGAGUCCAGUCUCCUUCUGGAGAUGCAGGGAUCGGUCAAGUCCAGCAGCUUAGUAUGGGCUCCAUAGACGUCGGCACCUCUGAGCCCCAUGGCGAAGACCAGGGAGAGUCGUCAGAGGCAUGUGACAUCAUAUUGUCUGCAGCCAUGGUGAAUAACCGGCAGUCUGUGCCGAGUUCCAGCUACAGCCCUUUUCAGGUAACAGCCAGGCAAGGUCCCGGUGAAUAUUCUUUGGUUGUCACUGGCGUGGAUGAUGUGAACUCUACCAAUGAGGGAGGAAAUGAAGAACGCUCCCAGGAGGCCUUCUGCAGGGAUCAGGGGCUCAACACUGACCGGGACCAAUCUGAGAAGCUUCUUGCAGAAAGGAGCAGCAGGGAAUUGCAGAACUGUGGGGAAAGCAGCCAGGUGCAGGACAGGAGACUCGCACAGGAUCCAGAGAACAACUUCUCGCAUUUGGAGAUGAAGGAGAGAAGUUCUCAGCUGCUGUGUAAUAGGCGACGACUAACCAGGUGUUUCCAAGCCUGGAGCAGCCACAUCCUGAGGAAGAGGACUGCAGCUAGGGAGCUCUACAGGCAGCAGCUGCUUCGCAAGGGGCUUGGGGCCCUCCAGUGGGCAGUGCAGCUGAGGAAGGUGCAGAUGGAGAUUGCCCAGCGGAGAC
This 1026-nucleotide long non-coding RNA is filed under the name Chrysemys picta bellii (western painted turtle). RNAcentral's name for it is "lncRNA (ENSCPBG00000021980.1)". The record is from RNAcentral. Lineage: Eukaryota; Metazoa; Chordata; Testudines; Emydidae.